CGGGGCUAAAAGUCUUGUAAUUGGAAUGAUGGGAAUUUAAACCUCUUCCAGAGUAUCAAUUGGAGGGCAAGUCUGGUGCCAGCAGCCGCGGUAAUUCCAGCUCCAAUAGCGUAUAUUAAAAUUGUUGCAGUUAAAAAGCUCGUAGUUGAAUUUCUGCUGCAUUGCUUGUGUCCCUCUGGGGUCUGUGCAUGUGGCUUUUUUCGGACGGAGUUUCUUUGUCUGAAUGUUUACUUUGAGAAAAUUAGAGUGCUCAAAGCAGGCUUUCGCCUUGAAUAGUUUAGCAUGGAAUAAUAAAGUAGGACUUUGGUUCUAUUUUGUUGGUUUUAGGUACCAAAGUAAUGGUUAAUAGGAACAGUUGGGGGCAUUCGUAUUUAACUGUCAGAGGUGAAAUUCUUAGAUUUGUUAAAGACGAACUACUGCGAAAGCAUUUGCCAAGGAUGUUUUCAUUAAUCAAGAAC
RNAcentral lists this ribosomal RNA (458 nucleotides) under Theileria annulata. Its description in RNAcentral is "SSU rRNA". It matches the Rfam family "Eukaryotic small subunit ribosomal RNA", at positions 486 to 984 of the family's 1831-position model. Lineage: Eukaryota; Apicomplexa; Aconoidasida; Piroplasmida; Theileriidae. The record is from RNAcentral.